AUUGAACGCUGGCGGCAUGCUUUACACAUGCAAGUCGAACGGCAGCGCGGUCUUCGGCCUGGCUGCGAGUGGGGAACGGGUGAGUAAUGCAUGGGAACGUCCCCAGCUGUGGGGGAUAGUCCGGUGAAAGCCGGAUUAAUACCGCAUAAGAGCUGAGGGUGUAAGCGGGGGAGCGAAAGACCUUGCGCUAUUGGAGGGGUCGAUGCGGGGUUAGCUAGGUGGUGGGGUGAAGGGUUACCAAGGCGACGAUCCGUAGCUGGACUGAGAGGCCGAGCAGCCACACUGGGACUGAGACACGGCCCAGACUCCUACGGGAGGCAGCAGUGGGGAAUGUUGGACAAUGGGGGCAAGCCUGAUCCAGCCAUGCCGCGUGCGGGAAGAAGGCCUUCGGGUUGUAAAGCGCUUUUGUUGGGGAAGAAAACCUCUGGGCUAAUACCCCGCGGGUAUGACGGUACCGGAAGAAUAAGCACCGGCUAACUACGUG
This 484-nucleotide ribosomal RNA is filed under the name uncultured bacterium. Its description in RNAcentral is "partial 16S ribosomal RNA". It matches the Rfam family "Bacterial small subunit ribosomal RNA", at positions 28 to 507 of the family's 1533-position model. The record is from RNAcentral.